Molecule: unclassified non-coding RNA, 304 nt
Filed under: Hevea brasiliensis (rubber tree)
Lineage: Eukaryota; Viridiplantae; Streptophyta; Magnoliopsida; Malpighiales; Euphorbiaceae
Source: RNAcentral
AAUGUUUCCUGUAGUGAUUUUGUUAUCAGAAAAAUGGAAUAAAUAGCAGGAAACAUUCGGAAGGCAUAACAUCAAGCCCCACAACAUCUAAACACUAUCAAAUGUGUCAUUCCUGUUUCCUCACCCUUGUCAUGGAUUAGUACACAUUAUCUGAUUGUAUUAAUAAAAAUGGCAAUGAAACCAGAAAUCGUAGGACAAUCAUCUUAAUAAAUCUAAUCCAAUAAUGCAUAUCAAGCAAGCAACAUUAAUGUAGAAAUUGACCAUUAAACUGCAAAAUUUAUCAUCCAGAGUAGCCAAAUAUAUA